Molecule: ribosomal RNA, 200 nt
Filed under: uncultured organism
Description: partial small subunit ribosomal RNA
Rfam family: Bacterial small subunit ribosomal RNA
Source: RNAcentral
ACGUCAAGUCCUCAUGGCCCUUACGGGCUGGGCUACACACGUGCUACAAUGGCGGUGACAAUGGGCAGCGAAGGGGCGACCUGGAGCUAAUCCCAAAAAGCCGUCUCAGUUCAGAUUGCACUCUGCAACUCGAGUGCAUGAAGGCGGAAUCGCUAGUAAUCGUGGAUCAGAACGCCACGGUGAAUACGUUCCCGGGCCUU